RNAcentral lists this ribosomal RNA (526 nucleotides) under uncultured Flavobacterium sp. RNAcentral's name for it is "bacterial SSU rRNA". It matches the Rfam family "Bacterial small subunit ribosomal RNA", at positions 8 to 527 of the family's 1533-position model. Lineage: Bacteria; Pseudomonadati; Bacteroidota; Flavobacteriia; Flavobacteriales; Flavobacteriaceae. The record is from RNAcentral.
AGAGUUUGAUCAUGGCUCAGGAUGAACGCUAGCGGGAGGCUUAACACAUGCAAGUCGAGGGGCAGCACGAGGUAGCAAUACUUUGGUGGCGACCGGCGCACGGGUGAGUAACGCGUAUGCAACCUACCCUGUACAGGGGGAUAGCCCGGAGAAAUUCGGAUUAAUACCCCAUAACGAUAUGAAGAGGCAUCUUUUUAUAUUUAAAGUUUCGACGGUACGGGAUGGGCAUGCGUGACAUUAGCUAGUUGGUAGGGUAACGGCCUACCAAGGCUUCGAUGUCUAGGGGUCCUGAGAGGGCGAUCCCCCACACUGGUACUGAGACACGGACCAGACUCCUACGGGAGGCAGCAGUGAGGAAUAUUGGUCAAUGGGCGUAAGCCUGAACCAGCCAUCCCGCGUGCAGGAAGACGGCGCUAUGCGUUGUAAACUGCUUUUCCAGAGGAAGAAAACCCCCGACGUGUCGGGGCUUGCCGGUACUCUGGGAAUAAGCAUCGGCUAACUCCGUGCCAGCCGCCGCGGUAAUACA